AUCACACAAAGCGCAAUAGUGUAGCAAAACUGGCAGUCAAAAUAUUUUGCCUCCUUAUGCUCCUUGCUCUUUCUGCAAGUGCUGCUAACGCGACCAAUUUUCUGCAAUGCUCACAAGAUCCAAUUGCUUCCCUUCUUCCCUCAUACCUCUCACCAGCGACAUCUUCAGUAUGUGAAAACCCAAUUCUUCAACCCUAUAGGAUCCAACAGGCAAUCACAGCAAGCAUCUUACCUUUAUCACCCUUGUUCCUCCAACAACCGCCAGCCCUGUUACAACAAUUACCUUUGGUGCAUUUGUUGGAACAAAGCAUCAAGGCACAACAACUACAACAACCUGUGCUGACAAACCUUGUUGCCUACUCUCAGCAACAAUAGUUUCUUCCAUUCAACCAACUGGCUGCACUGAACUCUGCUGCUUAUUUGCAACAACAACAACAACUUCCAUUCACCCAGCUAGCUGCUGCCUACCCCCAACAAUUUCUUCCAUUCGACUAACUGGCUGCAUUGAACUCUGUUGCUUAUUUACAACAGCAACAACUAAUACCAUGAAACCAGCUAGCUGUUGCGAGCCCUGCUACCUUCUUGACACAACCACAGUUGAUGUCGUUCUACCUGCAAGCUGUGGCUAACGUCGGCACCCUCUUACAACUACAACAAUUGUUGCCAUUCAUCCAACUUGCUUUGACAAACCCAAUAGUGUUCUACCAACAACCCAUCAUUGGUGGCGCCCUCUUUUAUAUUUCUUAUGGGUUAUAGUUCAAUAAUGAAGUUUUUGGCUGAUGUUUGUGGCUUCCCAGAAAUAAGAAAGUAUAUUUCUAGAUUCUUAUGUGCUACUAGUCUCCAAAUGUGGUUGAUAAUUAUGUUGCUCUAAGAACGGGAGUAAUGAGGUAUAAAUCAUUGUUGAGGUGUGAUACUCGGGUAGUUGAGCAUUAGCACGCACAAAUAUGAUGAGGACGGUAUAAUCUCCAAAAAUAUGUACUUUGUUAGGUGGGACCCUAUAGCCAUGCAGAAUGUGCUCUGUUAGACACGUCGAUGGAAACGUGUCACACAUACGUUUUGUGAACCUAUUGAUAUUGUAUGUGCUUUUAGUUGUGUGGUGCUAUAGAUAUGAGGGCUUGUUUCACGUAAUGAGCUAGGGUAGAAAAAUAAUUAUUUGCCUUGGAUUGUUAUGGAAGAACAUACCAAUUGUGACUGCCAUCUCAAUCUAGCUAACAUCUAAGUGACCUAAAAGGAGAGCAUAAGGAACUGAUCUACAAUGACUAGCCUAGUGGUUUUAUAGGAAAUGGCAAAGAGGAAAAUGUGUUUAAGUUAUUACAAUUGUAUGGUUUAAAACAAGCACCUAAGCACAUGAGAAAUUUUAUGAA
Zea mays is the source of this 1363-nucleotide RNA transcript. It is a transcript of the gene named alpha zein pseudogene, with no coding region annotated. Lineage: Eukaryota; Viridiplantae; Streptophyta; Magnoliopsida; Poales; Poaceae. The transcript has a single exon. The record is from RefSeq and is marked validated.